GAUGAAGAACGUAGCGAAAUGCGAUAAGUAAUGUGAAUUGCAGAAUUCCGUGAAUCAUCGAAUCUUUGAACGCACAUUGCGCCCCCUGGUAUUCCGGGGGGCAUGCCUGUCCGAGCGUCAUUGCAACCUUCAAGCGCGGCUUGUGUGUUGGGUCUCGUCCCCCGUGGACGGGCCCGAAAGGCAGUGGCGGCGUCCCGACAUGGUGCCCGAGCGUAUGGGAAUCCUCUUCCGCUCGAAUCGGCCCAUGCGGCGCUGGUCGUAACCAAAUUUUUUACCGGUUGACCUCGGAUCAGGUAGGGAUACCCGCUGAACUUAAGCAUAUCAAUAAGCGAGG
RNAcentral lists this unclassified non-coding RNA (334 nucleotides) under soil metagenome. RNAcentral describes it as "partial contains 5.8S ribosomal RNA, internal transcribed spacer 2, and large subunit ribosomal RNA". The stretch from base 1 to 120 matches the Rfam family "5.8S ribosomal RNA", at positions 35 to 154 of the family's 154-position model. The record is from RNAcentral.